This 56-nucleotide ribosomal RNA is filed under the name Babesia bovis. RNAcentral describes it as "partial 28S ribosomal RNA". The record is from RNAcentral. Lineage: Eukaryota; Apicomplexa; Aconoidasida; Piroplasmida; Babesiidae.
CUGAGAUGUACGAGGCUAUCCGCUGAAUUUAAGCAUAUAACUAAGCGGCAGACAAG